UCAGAUUGGGAUAGUGAGGUUACUGAUGA
Molecule: small RNA, 29 nt
Filed under: Bombyx mori (domestic silkworm)
Lineage: Eukaryota; Metazoa; Arthropoda; Insecta; Lepidoptera; Bombycidae
Description: piRNA piR-bmo-2032607
Source: RNAcentral